Zonotrichia leucophrys gambelii is the source of this 215-nucleotide long non-coding RNA. RefSeq lists it as uncharacterized. The transcript is spliced from 3 exons. NCBI's taxonomy places the organism in Eukaryota, Metazoa, Chordata, Aves, Passeriformes, Passerellidae. The record is from RefSeq and is a predicted model, not a curated record.
CUUGGAUCAUACCACCUCAUAUAGCAAGAUGUUAUACAAUAUGAAGAAACAAUGCUUUGCAACAAGUGCUUGAAAUGAAUUAAUAAUCUGGAUUUCAAGGUUCUUGUGGAACUACACCAUGAAAGACAGCCCUGAUUUAUCUGAGAAGGACCUAAGGUGACACUUCUUGGUAGGGCAUUCUUGGAGAGAGGAGGAGCCAGAGGAAGACACUGCAG